CCUACGGGAGGCUGCAGUGAGGAAUAUUGGUCAAUGGACGAGAGUCUGAACCAGCCAAGUAGCGUGAAGGAUGACUGCCCUAUGGGUUGUAAACUUCUUUUAUAAAGGAAUAAAACGAGGCACGUGUGCCUUUUUGCAUGUACUUUAUGAAUAAGGAUCGGCUAACUCCGUGCCAGCAGCCGCGGUAAUACGGAGGAUCCGAGCGUUAUCCGGAUUUAUUGGGUUUAAAGGGAGCGUAGAUGGGUUGUUAAGUCAGUUGUGAAAGUUUGCGGCUCAACCGUAAAAUUGCAAUUGAUACUGGCAGUCGUGAGUACAGUUGAGGGAGGCGGAAUUCGUGGUGUAGCGGUGAAAUGCUUAGAUAUCACGAAGAACCCCGAUUGCGAAGGCAGCUUACUAAACUGUGACUGACAUUGAUGCUCGAAAGUGUGGGUAUCAAACAGGAUUAGAUACCCGGGUAGUC
This 460-nucleotide ribosomal RNA is filed under the name uncultured bacterium. RNAcentral's name for it is "partial 16S ribosomal RNA". It matches the Rfam family "Bacterial small subunit ribosomal RNA", at positions 338 to 795 of the family's 1533-position model. The record is from RNAcentral.